UAGGUAGCUUAACCUUCGGGAGGGCGCUUACCACUUUGUGAUUCAUGACUGGGGUGAAGUCGUAACAAGGUAACCGUAGGGGAACCUGCGGUUGGAUCACCUCCUUACCUUAAAAAA
Molecule: ribosomal RNA, 117 nt
Filed under: Enterobacter hormaechei
Lineage: Bacteria; Pseudomonadati; Pseudomonadota; Gammaproteobacteria; Enterobacterales; Enterobacteriaceae
Description: partial 16S ribosomal RNA
Rfam family: Bacterial small subunit ribosomal RNA
Source: RNAcentral